CGUAGGGUGCGAGCGUUAAUCGGAAUUACUGGGCGUAAAGCGUGCGCAGGCGGUUUAGUAAGACAGGCGUGAAAUCCCCGGGCUCAACCUGGGAACUGCGCUUGUGACUGCUAAGCUAGAGUACGGCAGAGGGGGGUGGAAUUCCACGUGUAGCAGUGAAAUGCGUAGAGAUGUGAGGAACACCAAUGGCGAAGGCAGCCCCCUGGGUCGAUACUGACGCUCAUGCACGAAAGCGUGGGUAGCAAACAGGAUUAGAUACCCUGGUAGUCCACGCCCUAAACGAUGUCAACUAGGUGUUGGGAGGGUAAAACCUUUUAGUACCGGAGCUAACGCGUGAAGUUGACCGCCUGGGGAUACGGCCGCAAAGGUUA
Molecule: ribosomal RNA, 371 nt
Filed under: uncultured organism
Description: bacterial SSU rRNA
Rfam family: Bacterial small subunit ribosomal RNA
Source: RNAcentral